CCGCCAGACUCCUACGGGAGGCAGCAGUGGGGAAUAUUGCACAAUGGGGGAAACCCUGAUGCAGCGACGCCGCGUGAGCGAUGAAGUAUUUCGGUAUGUAAAGCUCUAUCAGCAGGGAAGAAGAUGACGGUACCUGACUAAGAAGCCCCGACUAACUACGUGCCAGCAGCCGCGGUAAUACGUAGGGGGCAAGCGUUAUCCGGAUUUACUGGGUGUAAAGGGAGCGUAGACGGCGAUGCAAGCCAGAUGUGAAAGCCCGUGGCUCAACCCCGGGACUGCAUUUGGAACUGUGUGGCUGGAGUGUCGGAGAGGCAGGCGGAAUUCCUAGUGUAGCGGUGAAAUGCGUAGAUAUUAGGAGGAACACCAGUGGCGAAGGCGGCCUGCUGGACGAUGACUGACGUUGAGGCUCGAAAGCGUGGGGAGCAAACAGGAUUAGAUACCCUAGUAA
Molecule: ribosomal RNA, 448 nt
Filed under: uncultured bacterium
Lineage: Bacteria
Description: bacterial SSU rRNA
Rfam family: Bacterial small subunit ribosomal RNA
Source: RNAcentral